RNAcentral lists this small nuclear RNA (293 nucleotides) under Erinaceus europaeus (western European hedgehog). RNAcentral describes it as "7SK RNA". It matches the Rfam family "7SK RNA". From Rfam's summary of the family: 7SK was discovered as an abundant small nuclear RNA in the mid-70s but a possible function has only recently been suggested. Two independent studies have found that 7SK RNA binds the CDK9/cyclin T complex (known as elongation factor P-TEFb). P-TEFb activates transcription by phosphorylating the C-terminal domain of RNA polymerase II. Lineage: Eukaryota; Metazoa; Chordata; Mammalia; Eulipotyphla; Erinaceidae. The record is from Rfam by way of RNAcentral.
GGAUGUGAGGGUGAUCUGACUACGAAAUCUGUCACCCCAUUGAUCACCAGGGUAGAUUCGGCUGAUCUGGCUGGCUAGGCGGAUAUCCCCUUCCUCCCUCACCACUCCAUGUGCAUCCCUCCUGAAGCUGUGCACCGGUCUUCAGUCGAGGGUAUAGGAGUAGCUGCGCCCCCCUGCUAGAACCUCCAAACAAGCUCUCAAGAAAGAGCAGAGCCCUACUCAGCUCUGGCUUAUGGUGGUGCUGGGGAUUGAACCUGGGACUUCAGAGCCUCAGGCAUGAGAAUUCUUUGCAU